GAUGAACGCUGGCGGCGUGCCUAACACAUGCAAGUCGAACGAUGAAACCGCCCUCGGGCGGACAUGAAGUGGCGAACGGGUGAGUAACACGUGACCAACCUGCCCCUUGCUCCGGGACAACCUUGGGAAACCGAGGCUAAUACCGGAUACUCCUCGCCCCCCUCCUGGGGGGCCCGGGAAAGCCCAGACGGCAAGGGAUGGGGUCGCGGCCCAUUAGGUAGUAGGCGGGGUAACGGCCCACCUAGCCCGCGAUGGGUAGCCGGGUUGAGAGACCGACCGGCCACAUUGGGACUGAGAUACGGCCCAGACUCCUACGGGAGGCAGCAGUGGGGAAUUUUGCGCAAUGGGGGCAACCCUGACGCAGCAACGCCGCGUGCGGGACGACGGCCUUCGGGUUGUAAACCGCUUUCAGCAGGGAAGAAAUUCGA
This 428-nucleotide ribosomal RNA is filed under the name uncultured bacterium. Its description in RNAcentral is "bacterial SSU rRNA". It matches the Rfam family "Bacterial small subunit ribosomal RNA", at positions 28 to 455 of the family's 1533-position model. The record is from RNAcentral.